CAGUCGCCGCGGUAAUACAGAGGGUGCGAGCGUUAAUCGGAUUUACUGGGCGUAAAGCGUGCGUAGGCGGCUUCUUAAGUCGGAUGUGAAAUCCCUGAGCUUAACUUAGGAAUUGCAUUCGAUACUGGGAAGCUAGAGUAUGGGAGAGGAUGGUAGAAUUCCAGGUGUAGCGGUGAAAUGCGUAGAGAUCUGGAGGAAUACCGAUGGCGAAGGCAGCCAUCUGGCCUAAUACUGACGCUGAGGUACGAAAGCAUGGGGAGCAAACAGGAUUAGAUACCCGUGUAGUCCCUGUCUCUUAUAU
Molecule: ribosomal RNA, 301 nt
Filed under: uncultured bacterium
Lineage: Bacteria
Description: partial 16S ribosomal RNA
Rfam family: Bacterial small subunit ribosomal RNA
Source: RNAcentral